GUGCACUACUUUUUCACAAGGGUGGAUAAAGCAGCUAUUAUAACUUAGCUAUGUCAGACUGGGUUAAUGCAGGUUCAAGAUAGUUGUGUACUGUGUUGAUGUGCUGCUAAUGGAUCAGAUUUCACUACAUUUCUUUAAUCUGAGGCCAUGCACUGUCAUCUUCAAGUGCAAUGAAGGAAGAACAGGAGCGAAUAAAAUAAAUUAAGACACCCUAUGGCUUUACUUUUCAGCAUCUUUUUUGGUUCAUUAAAAGCACGUUAUUAGACAAGAAACGAUAUUACAAGUAGAGAACCUGGACGUUCACGGUUUCCUGUGGGGAGUAUAUUCAUAGACGGAAAGUGAAACUACAGACGGUCAUUAAUACACGUCGAUCUUCCUGGAAGCAAAAAGUGGUCGUCUGUCUUGACAAGCAAAUGGAGAACUCUUCACAUUUAGGUUUGAGCAGAUGACCAGAUGCUCAGAAGUGCAGUUGAUGGUCAGCUCCUGUAGAUACACAUUAUUACAGAUACACGUUAUUUACAGACAAAAUGUCAAAUGUAUUGGUACGAGGCAUGUAGAAUCUUGUCUGGAGAAAUAAUAUUUGUAUAUGGCUAGCCCUCUGGAAGUGGAAGCGGCUUACUUUAGAUAACUGCACAUCCUUUGGUCUGAACUUAAACCCAGAGAAGUGGAUUUAUUGAAAGCGAUCACUGCAGCCUGUGCCAACAUGGGGAACAUAUGGGAUUGUUGUGGACGAAAAAACCCUUGUGACCAUACAGAGGAUGAGACUAAAGGUUUACUGCACAGCUCUGAAUCAAAGACAUCAACUAAGACAGGAACGGAUGUCUGCACCAGUCCAACUUCAGAUGAAGAGCACAGGCAUGAAGAAGAAACAAAACCACAGCUGGGUGAAUUGGUUAUAACCAAACAGCCAAAUUCAAAGUCUCAAAUUCUUAAACCACAGAGCUCUUACUCUACAACAAUAUCACUAUUACAAACUGAAGUCUCUCUUGCUGUUGAAGUUAAUCCCAAUGUUUCUCCUGAAACGGCUCCAACAGAAACUAUAAUCUUAGCUACAGAACCACCAAAAACAGAGACUGAAAUCACUGAAGAAAUCCAAAACAUUGCAGCUGAAGUCUCAGAAGCACCUCAAGACAAAGCACUUGCGGACAAUAAUGCCUCAGUGAAAGGGGAGAUAGAGGCUCAGCAUGGGUCAGUUGAAGAGGUAGACAUCACAGCUGCUCUGACAGAUGAUGCAGGUGCUACCGCAACAAGUUCAGACUCAACAGUCGCACCUGCUAUGGAGACACCUGUUA
This is a long non-coding RNA of Sinocyclocheilus grahami, 1292 nucleotides long. RefSeq lists it as uncharacterized. Lineage: Eukaryota; Metazoa; Chordata; Actinopteri; Cypriniformes; Cyprinidae. The record is from RefSeq and is a predicted model, not a curated record. The transcript is spliced from 3 exons.